UUGAACCACGGGAGGGGUUGAUCAAGGUGACAGUUGGAAAGUGGAUCUUGAAAGAGGGAGAUCUGGUAACUGUGACAGGACAGUCACAGGUUAGACUUGCCUACAGAAUGGGCUAAGUGAGGAAAUGUUAGUAGAGCUCUGAGAAGGGAACCUGAAGAGGCUGAAGAAAGCUGAGCUUGAUGUCCCUAGCCCCAGAAGCUUCCCAUGUUUGGCAAGAGUGACGAACACUGCCCCAGAGCUCCAUCUUCAGCUGAGGAUGGCCUAAUGCGUGGACAUUGCUACCAUAAAUCUUUGAUCGAUGGUGCAGGGGUGCACCAACACCUGAAGUGGCACACCCACAGGGAUGGCAUUCAAAGAAGAACAGGGGCUACGAGGGAGAAGAACGGUCAGAAAGAACCAGACAUUGUGGCUUUGGAGAACUGGUGGGGGGGGGAAUGUCCUAGCAAGGGCCUAUGAAAGUAAUUCCUUCUUUGGCACAUGCAGAAGAAGCUGAAGAAGAAGGUGGGUAUCAUCAUCAUCAUCAAGUGGAACAGAGGAUGAUCUUUGUUUAUUAAAAAAAAAACACACACA
This is a long non-coding RNA of Mauremys reevesii (Reeves's turtle), 570 nucleotides long. RefSeq lists it as uncharacterized. The transcript is spliced from 4 exons. The record is from RefSeq and is a predicted model, not a curated record. Lineage: Eukaryota; Metazoa; Chordata; Testudines; Geoemydidae.